AGUAACACGUGGAUAACCUGCCUUAUACUGGGGGAUAACAGCCAGAAAGUGGCUGCUAAUACCGCAUAAGCGCACGGCGCCGCAGUGCGCAGUGUGAAAAACUCCGGUGGUAAUAAGAUGGAUCCGCGCCUGAUUAGCUAGUUGGCGGGGCAGCGGCCCACCAAGGCGACGAUCAGUAGCCGGCCUGAGAGGGCGACCGGCCACAUUGGGACUGAGACACGGCCCAAACUCCUACGGAAGGCAGCAG
RNAcentral lists this ribosomal RNA (247 nucleotides) under uncultured bacterium. RNAcentral describes it as "partial 16S ribosomal RNA". It matches the Rfam family "Bacterial small subunit ribosomal RNA", at positions 109 to 354 of the family's 1533-position model. The record is from RNAcentral.